Long non-coding RNA from Olea europaea var. sylvestris, 752 nucleotides. RefSeq lists it as uncharacterized. The record is from RefSeq and is a predicted model, not a curated record. NCBI's taxonomy places the organism in Eukaryota, Viridiplantae, Streptophyta, Magnoliopsida, Lamiales, Oleaceae. The transcript has 3 exons.
AUCACAAGAAUAAUCAUUGCAAGCAACGACCAGAAAAGAAAAUUAGGGGAAACAGACAGAUUCUUGCAAUUCUCAGUCUAAUAAUUCCAAAAUCUAUCAAUUGAAAUUGUUAUGUUCAUAUUCCUCUUUAUCAAUCAGGACAAACAUGCAGAUAUAUGGUUUGGAUAAUUUAAUUUUACGAAUCUACAUUGAGGCGUAAUAUAAGUGUUUGAAGGUAAUUAUUAUGAAAGAGCGUUUUCCACUACUGUAACAUAUGAUAGCAAGGCACUGGUUAUUGAUGGAACGAGGAGAAUUUUGCAGUCAGGGUCUGUGCAUUAUCCGCGAACCACGCCUGAUGUGUGGCCAGAAAUCAUUAGAAAGGCGAAGGAAGGAGGAUUGGACGUGAUUGAGACUUAUGUCUUUUGGAAUUAUCAUGAGCCUGUCAGAGGAGAGGUAUAAAAGUUGCAAAGUGCAUUUAUUUUAACUAGUGAACUCGUUGGUUGAAAUUCGAUGAGAAUAUAAGCCAAAUCUUGUGGUUUGCUAUGGAGAUUCUUGAGUGAAUAAACAUUUUACUUAUUAAGUUCUUGCUGAAAUGUGGUCUGUAUUUGAUUUAGUUCUGCAUUAUAUGAUAGGUCGAACUAAUUACCAGUCUGCCAAGGUCUUUACUCUUUAAAUCUUCUUGUGGUAGUUGCAUAAAGAUUUAUGUGCAUAUAUGAGAACUAAUGGUCAUAUAGGAAACAAUUGCCACCAUACAUUUUAAUAUCAAAAGCAGA